RNAcentral lists this long non-coding RNA (2271 nucleotides) under Volvox carteri. RNAcentral describes it as "long non-coding RNA (VCAR_LNC002453)". Lineage: Eukaryota; Viridiplantae; Chlorophyta; Chlorophyceae; Chlamydomonadales; Volvocaceae. The record is from RNAcentral.
UGGCCUUGAGUAGUCGCCUCGUGUGGAUCUUCAGCAUUUCUCGGGGCCUUUAGGUCCUGGGCGGGGUGCUCUUUAGCGCCGCAACACAGGUAACUGUCAUCACUAUCGGCCACUAGUGCAACUUUUACAAUGGGGGGGUUGGUGUUGGGAAGGAAUCUCGCAGCCGGGUUGUUUGCUACCGAGUUGUGCUUGCGGUUGGCGGCUUAGCUACUGUAACGCAACACGGUAGGAGUGAGCAAUGAAUUCGCAUGGUGACUGGCCGAUGUUUUACCUAAAGUGCGAAAAAAGCUUUGCCGUGGUCCGAGAAGGUGACCGCAGAUGCUGUGUAGCCGAAAUGGCCACUCAGUACUGCAGCGACCCUUGGGUCACAAUGCGGUAAAUAAACAUAUCUGUCAAUUUGAAUUCCUUAGGUAGAUUCAUUAAAGUGGGUUAUCUUCCGCGCUCCGCGCUUGUGCACACAGUGUCAAGUAACAGAUGGACACAUGCAUACCUACAUACCUACAUGCAUACACGGAGACCAGAGCUGCAUGAUGGAAUGACGGAAUGGGCGGUCAGAUUGGGCGCUGGGAUUAGGACAGUCCGAAGCGUAAAACACCUAGGUGCCACGCUGGCGGAAGUUUGGUAGCAUGGGCUGCGGUUUGUUGCCGUCCUUACUCCUAAAUAAACAACCCUGUAUUAUCCGAGCUUUGCCUUGCCUUCCGAUUUGGAUGAAUCGCCCAUGUUCAUUCGCAUCCGUUGCACGACGUUCUACGACACCUCAAGCCUCCUGUCCCUGCCGUCAUCCUUGCGUGUGUGUCUGUGUGUGUGUGUCUGUGUGUGUCUGUGUGUGUGUCUGUGUGUGUCUGUGUGUGUCUGUGUGUGUGUCUGUGUGUGUGUCUGUGUGUGUGUGUCUGUGUGUGUGUCUGUGUGUGUGUCUGUGUGUGUCUGUGUGUGUCUGUGUGUGUCUGUGUGUGUCUGUGUGUGUCUGUGUGUGUCUGUGUGUGUCUGUGUGUGUCUGUGUGUGUUUGUGUGUGUCUGUGUGUGUCUGUGUGUGUCUGUGUGUGUCUGUGUGUGUCUGUGUGUGUCUGUGUGUGUCUGUGUGUGUCUGUGUGUGUCUGUGUGUGUCUGUGUGUGUCUGUGUGUGUGUCUGUGUGUGUGUCUGUGUGUGUCUGUGUGUGUGUCUGUGUGUGUGUCUGUGUGUGUGUCUGUGUGUGUCUGUGUGUGUGUCUGUGUGUGUGUCUGUGUGUGUGUGUCUGUGUGUGUCUGUGUGUGUGUCUGUGUGUGUGUGUCUCUGUGUGUGUCUGUGUGUGUGUCUGUGUGUGUCUGUGUGUGUGUCUGUGUGUGUGUGUCCUGUUACACGUCGACCCGGGCCUGACGCUGGAGCCACAGUCCCCUCCUGCUCGACCGAGGGCGCGCAACCCUGUGUCUCAACAUCGUGUAAUCGAUGAUGAAAGAGCGCACGAUGGCAACAAGGCCCUCUCACAACCAACCUCAGCACGCGCUGUGGCGCAGUUCCGCCCAGGCAGCCUGCACCAUUUGCCUGGGUCCUUGCAUCACCGGACGGUCUUUCCCUUGAGGGGCAGCCUUGUCGGUGCCUUGAGCCCAGAAGCAGAACCCUACUAACGUGGCUGCCAUCGCUGCGACCCUGAGAACACGUUUCGGCAGACCCAGGCCACGCAAAGGUCGCUGGCCGUAACCGGCCUCACUCUAACUGAGGCUGGUCAGGCAAACCUCUCUAGGAGGUUAGUUCACCCCGGGGGCCCCUAUACGCGGCAGGCGGGCGGGGCAAGGUGUCAAGGCGGUGGCAAUCUCGCCAUGCAAAGGAUGUAGCCUCAAUCCUCUCGGGAAUCAGAAAUAUCCUACCCGAUGUCUGUUUGGUCCAUCGCAUUAAGAUAUAUAAGCGCAUCGCCAACGCGUCCUUGCAUUCAGAUGUAACCGUUAGGCUGGCUGGUCCUGGUCCGUGGGUCCGCCAAUCUUUUUCCCUCCCCAGUAACGUAUAUAAAAUCCAUCGAGGAAGCUAUCCCUAUUUUACUUGUUCGAUUACACUGUUGCAAUUCAGAUUGGGCUGUCAAUCAACAACAUUGAAUGGCCAGGGCCACCACGGACAUCGCGCAACCUCACAAAUGAAAAGUUUUAAGUUGAUUCACGCAUCAUCUAAAUGACAUUGAAUCCGGCGGGUGCCAACAGGUAACCGUGAAUGCGGGCUGUCCGCUUGUCGCACCGACCGGCAACGGUAUACCCGCCGAGAACGGUGAAUGCCAAAGUUAGUUGAUUCUUGUCUGACUUCUGGUC